Molecule: transfer RNA, 85 nt
Filed under: Candidatus Uabimicrobium amorphum
Lineage: Bacteria; Pseudomonadati; Planctomycetota; Candidatus Uabimicrobiia; Candidatus Uabimicrobiales; Candidatus Uabimicrobiaceae
Description: Planctomycetes bacterium SRT547 tRNA-Leu
Rfam family: tRNA
About the family: Transfer RNA (tRNA) molecules are approximately 80 nucleotides in length. Their secondary structure includes four short double-helical elements and three loops (D, anti-codon, and T loops).
Source: RNAcentral
GCGAGAGUGGCGAAAUUGGCAGACGCGCUAGAUUUAGGAUCUAGUGCCUUCGGGCAUGAGGGUUCGAGUCCCUCCUUUCGCACCA